Molecule: ribosomal RNA, 414 nt
Filed under: uncultured microorganism
Description: bacterial SSU rRNA
Rfam family: Archaeal small subunit ribosomal RNA
Source: RNAcentral
CAGCCGCCGCGGUAAUACCGGCGGCCCGAGUGGCGGUCACUAUUAUUGGGCUUAAAGCGCCCGUAGCCGGGUUGGGAAGUCCUCCGGGAAAUCUGGCCGCUUAACGGUCAGAAUGCCGGAGGAUACUCCCAGCCUAGGGAGCGGGAGAGGCCGAGGGGAUUCCCGGGGUGGGGGUGAAAUCCUAUAAUCCCGGGAGGACCACCUGUGGCGAAGGCGCUCGGCUGGAACGCGUCCGACGGUGAGGGACGAAGGCCAGGGGAGCAAACCGGAUUAGAUACCCGGGUAGUCCUGGCUGUAAACGAUGCGGACUUUGUGUCGGACAAGCUAUGAGCUUGUCCGGUGCCGGAGGGAAACCGUUAAGUCCGCCGCCUGGGGAGUACGGCCGCAAGGCUGAAACUUAAAGGAAUUGACGGG